UAGGGAAUCUUCCACAAUGGACGCAAGUCUGAUGGAGCAACGCCGCGUGAGUGAAGAAGGUUUUCGGAUCGUAAAGCUCUGUUGUUGGUGAAGAAGGAUAGAGGCAGUAACUGGUCUUUAUUUGACGGUAAUCAACCAGAAAGUCACGGCUAACUACGUGCCAGCAGCCGCGGUAAUACGUAGGUGGCAAGCGUUGUCCGGAUUUAUUGGGCGUAAAGCGAGCGCAGGCGGAAUGAUAAGUCUGAUGUGAAAGCCCACGGCUCAACCGUGGAACUGCAUCGGAA
RNAcentral lists this ribosomal RNA (284 nucleotides) under uncultured bacterium. Its description in RNAcentral is "partial 16S ribosomal RNA". It matches the Rfam family "Bacterial small subunit ribosomal RNA", at positions 355 to 631 of the family's 1533-position model. The record is from RNAcentral.